UUGGAGGGCAAGUCUGGUGCCAGCAGCCGCGGUAAUUCCAGCUCCAAUAGCGUAUAUUAAAGUUGUUGCAGUUAAAAAGCUCGUAGUUGAAUUUCGAGGUUCUUCCGUUGGUCAGGCUAACCAGUCUGUACUAGCGUGUAGAAUCUCUACCUUCUGGGGAACCAUCAUGUUAUUAAUUUAGCGUGGUGGGAAACCAGGACCUUUACCUUGAAAAAAUUAGAGUGUUCAAAGCAGGCUUACGUCUGAAUACAUUAGCAUGGAAUAAUAAAAUAGGACGGUGGUCCUGUUUUGUUGGUUUCUGAAUCACCGUAAUGAUUAAUAGGGAUAGUUGGGGGCAUUAGUAUUCAAUUGUCAGAGGUGAAAUUCUUGGAUUUAUUGAAGACUAACUUCUGCGAAAGCAUUUGCCAAGGAUGUUUUCAUUAAUCAAGAACGAAAGUUAGGGGAUUGAAGACGAUCAGAUACCGUCGUAGUCUUAACCAUAAACUAUGCCGACUAGGGAUCGGACGAUGUUAAAUUUUAUUGACUCGUUCGGCGCCUUACGGGAAAC
RNAcentral lists this ribosomal RNA (547 nucleotides) under uncultured Glomeromycotina. RNAcentral's name for it is "SSU rRNA". It matches the Rfam family "Eukaryotic small subunit ribosomal RNA", at positions 548 to 1098 of the family's 1831-position model. Lineage: Eukaryota; Fungi; Glomeromycota. The record is from RNAcentral.